AGCGGAAAGGCCACUUCGGUGGUACUCGAGCGGCGAACGGGUGAGUAACACGUGAGUAAUCUGCCCCUGGCUUCGGGAUAGCCACCGGAAACGGUGAUUAAUACCGGAUAUGACAGACCCUCGCAUGGGGGUGUGUGGAAAGUUUUUCGGCCAGGGAUGUGCUCGCGGCCUAUCAGCUUGAUGGUGAGGUAAUGGCUCACCAUGGCUUCGACGGGUAGCCGGCCUGAGAGGGUGACCGGCCACACUGGGACUGAGACACGGCCCAGACUCCUACGGGAGGCAGCAGUGGGGAAUAUUGGACAAUGGGCGGAAGCCUGAUCCAGCAACGCCGCGUGAGGGAUGACGGCCUUCGGGUUGUAAACCUCUUUCAGUACCGACGAAGCGCAAGUGACGGUAGGUACAAAAAAACCACCCGGCCAACUACGUGCCAGCACCCGCGGUAAUACGUAGGGUGCGAGCGUUGUUCGGAAUUAUUGGGGGUAAAGGGCUCGUAGGCGGUUUGUCGCGUCGGGAGUGAAAACGCCGUGCUUAACACGGCGCUUGCUUCCGAUACGGGCAGACUAGAGGUAUUCAGGGGAGAACGGAAUUCCUGGUGUAGCGGUGAAAUGCGCAGAUAUCAGGAGGAACACCGGUGGCGAAGGCGGUUCUCUGGGAAUGACCUGACGCUGAGGAGCGAAAGUGUGGGGAGCGAACAGGAUUAGAUACCCUGGUAGUCCACACCGUAAACGUUGGGCGCUAGGUGUGGGGUCCAUUCCACGGAUUCCGUGCCGCAGUAACGCA
This 780-nucleotide ribosomal RNA is filed under the name uncultured Nocardioides sp. RNAcentral's name for it is "bacterial SSU rRNA". It matches the Rfam family "Bacterial small subunit ribosomal RNA", at positions 65 to 859 of the family's 1533-position model. The record is from RNAcentral. Lineage: Bacteria; Bacillati; Actinomycetota; Actinomycetes; Propionibacteriales; Nocardioidaceae.